Molecule: ribosomal RNA, 497 nt
Filed under: uncultured bacterium
Lineage: Bacteria
Description: partial 16S ribosomal RNA
Rfam family: Bacterial small subunit ribosomal RNA
Source: RNAcentral
GAUGAACGCUGGCGGCGUGCCUAAUACAUGCAAGUCGAGCGAACGGACGAGAAGCUUGCUUCUCUGAUGUUAGCGGCGGACGGGUGAGUAACACGUGGAUAACCUACCUAUAAGACGGGGAUAACUUCGGGAAACCGGAGCUAAUACCGGAUAAUAUCUUGAACCAUAUGGUUCAAAAGUGAAAGACGGUCUUGCUGUAACCAAUAGAUGGAUCCGCGCUGCAUUGGCUAGUUGGUAAGGUAACGGCUUACCAAGGGAAGGAUGCAUAGCCGACCGGGGGGGGUGAUCGCCCACCUGGGAACGGGACCACGGUCCAGGCUCCUACGGGAGGCCGCGGACGGGAAUCUUCGGCAAUGGGCGAAAUCCUGCCGGAGCAAGCCGGCGUGAGUGAUGAAGGUCUCCGGUUCGUAAAACUCUUUUGUUGGGGAAAAACAUAUGUGGAAGGAACUGUGCACAUAGUGACGGUAACUAAUCAGAAAGCCACGGCUAACUACGUG